Molecule: ribosomal RNA, 253 nt
Filed under: uncultured bacterium
Lineage: Bacteria
Description: partial 16S ribosomal RNA
Rfam family: Bacterial small subunit ribosomal RNA
Source: RNAcentral
UACGUAGGGUGCAAGCGUUAAUCGGAAUUACUGGGCGUAAAGCGUGCGCAGGCGGUUAUGCAAGACAGAGGUGAAAUCCCCGGGCUCAACCUGGGAACUGCCUUUGUGACUGCAUGACUAGAGUACGGUAGAGGGGGAUGGAAUUCCGCGUGUAGCAGUGAAAUGCGUAGAUAUGCGGAGGAACACCGAUGGCGAAGGCAGCCCCCUGGGCUGAGAUUGACGCUCAGGCACGAAAGCGUGGGGAGCAAACAGG